CCUGUACCGACAAAUGAUAAUUGUGGGCCUGAAAGUGAGAGGUUAGAAACGAUUUUUAUGUGUGAGGGGUGCGAGGGAUUUUACAAAAAUGAAUCAAGCGAAUGUAAAUAACUUAGUGUCAAAAUUACGGUUUAAUGUUCAACCAAAGUACCGAACACUGAGGAAUUCAGAUGGUCUCGAAGGCAGAAUUCGAAAAAUUCAGAAAACAUUAACUGCAUUAUUGAAGUACGAGAGGAUUGAGUUGUAUUGGAAUCGUGCAGAUGAAGUUCGAGGUUAUGCCGAUCGUUUGAUUUCUGAGGCUAUUCGCCAUGGCCCUGCACACAAGGAGACAAUGGAGCUAGCAGACUUCUACAUUCUCGAGAAACAACUCGUUCACAAGCUCUUCAAAGUACUGGCUCCAAGGUAUCAAGAUUACACAUCUUCAUACACGAAGAUGCAUAAAAUACAGAGGGAUUACCCUGGGUAUUGGUACAGAAAGGCAGUCCUGGAGCUGAGAGGAAAUCCAUACCCUGGCCUAGAGCAGCCCAAUCCAUUCGAGAAGAAGCUCCUCCAUAACGUCCUAUUGGACGAAGUGAGGAAAGAGGCGAGGCUUCAAAAGUACCAAGAGAUGGCAGAAAAUCUCACGAAAUAAGACGAUAGUGCUCCUGGUACUCCUCUACAUGACGCUCCAUCAACAUCUUUUGUCGCCUAAGAGUUGGAGAUUCUCCAGGUACUGACGAAGUU
Molecule: RNA transcript, 723 nt
Organism: Fopius arisanus
Lineage: Eukaryota; Metazoa; Arthropoda; Insecta; Hymenoptera; Braconidae
Gene: mRpL17
Gene name: mitochondrial ribosomal protein L17
Exons: 5
Source: RefSeq, a predicted model, not a curated record